This 253-nucleotide ribosomal RNA is filed under the name uncultured bacterium. RNAcentral's name for it is "partial 16S ribosomal RNA". It matches the Rfam family "Bacterial small subunit ribosomal RNA", at positions 524 to 776 of the family's 1533-position model. The record is from RNAcentral.
UACGUAGGGUGCGAGCGUUAAUCGGAAUUACUGGGCGUAAAGCGUGCGCAGGCGGUUCGUUAAGUUCGUUGUGAAAGCCCCGGGCUCAACCUGGGAACUGCAAUGGAAACUGGCGGGCUUGAGUGUGGCAGAGGGGGGUGGAAUUCCGCGUGUAGCAGUGAAAUGCGUAGAGAUGCGGAGGAACACCGAUGGCGAAGGCAACCCCCUGGGCCAACACUGACGCUCAGGCACGAAAGCGUGGGGAGCAAACAGG